Molecule: ribosomal RNA, 440 nt
Filed under: uncultured bacterium
Lineage: Bacteria
Description: partial 16S ribosomal RNA
Rfam family: Bacterial small subunit ribosomal RNA
Source: RNAcentral
CCUACGGGCGACAGCAGUGGGGAAUAUUGCACAAUGGGGGAAACCCUGAUGCAGCGACGCCGCGUGAAGGAAGAAGUAUUUCGGUAUGUAAACUUCUAUCAGCAGGGAAGAAAAUGACGGUACCUGACUAAGAAGCCCCGGCUAACUACGUGCCAGCAGCCGCGGUAAUCCGUAGGGGGCAAGCGUUAUCCGGAUUUACUGGGUGUAAAGGGAGCGGAGGCGGUUUAGCAAGUCAGAAGUGAAAGCCCGGGGCUCAACUCCGGGACGGCUUUUGAAACUGUUGAACUAGAGUGCAGGAGAGGUAAGUGGAAUUCCUAGUGUAGCGGUGAAAUGCGUAGAUAUUAGGAGGAACACCAGUGGCGAAGGCGGCUUACUGGACUGUAAAUGACGCUGAGGCUCGAAAGCGUGGGGAGCAAACAGGAUUAGAUACCCGUAUAGUC